GAGAUGCAAGCGCAGGCGUUCC
RNAcentral lists this non-coding RNA (22 nucleotides) under Arabidopsis thaliana (thale cress). Lineage: Eukaryota; Viridiplantae; Streptophyta; Magnoliopsida; Brassicales; Brassicaceae. The record is from RNAcentral.